RNAcentral lists this ribosomal RNA (468 nucleotides) under uncultured bacterium. RNAcentral describes it as "partial 16S ribosomal RNA". It matches the Rfam family "Bacterial small subunit ribosomal RNA", at positions 28 to 507 of the family's 1533-position model. The record is from RNAcentral.
GACGAACGCUGGCGGCGUGCUUAACACAUGCAAGUCGAACGGAAAGGCCCUGCUUUUGUGGGGUGCUCGAGUGGCGAACGGGUGAGUAACACGUGAGUAACCUGCCCUUGACUUUGGGAUAACUUCAGGAAACUGGGGCUAAUACCGGAUAGGAGCUCCUGCUGCAUGGUGGGGGUUGGAAAGUUUCGGCGGUUGGGGAUGGACUCGCGGCUUAUCAGCUUGUUGGUGGGGUAGUGGCUUACCAAGGCUUUGACGGGUAGCCGGCCUGAGAGGGUGACCGGCCACAUUGGGACUGAGAUACGGCCCAGACUGCUACGGGAGGCAGCAGUGGGGAAUAUUGCACAAUGGGCGGAAGCCUGAUGCAGCAACGCCGCGUGCGGGAUGACGGCCUUCGGGUUGUAAACCGAUUUCGCCUGUGACGAAGCGUGAGUGACGGUAAUGGGUAAAGAAGCACCGGCUAACUACGUG